This 916-nucleotide ribosomal RNA is filed under the name uncultured bacterium. RNAcentral's name for it is "bacterial SSU rRNA". It matches the Rfam family "Bacterial small subunit ribosomal RNA", at positions 246 to 1155 of the family's 1533-position model. The record is from RNAcentral.
UUGUUGGUAAGGUAAAAGCUUACCAAGGCUUCGAUCAGUAGCUGGUCUGAGAGGACGACCAGCCACACUGGGACUGAGACACGGCCCAGACUCCUACGGGAGGCAGCAGUGGGGAAUUUUGGACAAUGGGGGCAACCCUGAUCCAGCCAUGCCGCGUGAGUGAAGAAGGCCUUCGGGUUGUAAAGCUCUUUCAGCCGGAACGAAACGGUUACGGUUAAUACCCGUGACUACUGACGGUACCGGAAGAAGAAGCACCGGCUAACUACGUGCCAGCAGCCGCGGUAAUACAUAGGGUGCGAGCGUUAAUCGGAAUUACUGGGCGUAAAGCGUGCGCAGGUGGUUUUGUAAGUCAGAUGUGAAAGCCCCGGGCUCAACCUGGGAACUGCGUUUGAAACUACAAGACUAGAGUGUGGCAGAGGGGGGUGGAAUUCCGCGUGUAGCAGUGAAAUGCGUAGAGAUGUGGAGGAACACCGAUGGCGAAGGCAGCCCCCUGGGUCAACACUGACGCUCAGGCACGAAAGCAUGGGGAGCAAACAGGAUUAGAUACCCUGGUAGUCCAUGCCCUAAACGAUGUCAACUAGUUGUCGGGCCUUUACGGGCUUGGUAACGUAGCUAACGCGUGAAGUUGACCGCCUGGGGAGUACGAUCGCAAGAUUAAAACUCAAAUGAAUUGACGGGGACCCGCACAAGCGGUGGAUUAUGUGGAUUAAUUCGAUGCAACGCGAAAAACCUUACCUACCCUUGACAUGUAUCGAAGCCCGCAGAAAAGCGGGGGUGCCCGAAAGGGAACGAUAACACAGGUGCUGCAUGGCUGUCGUCAGCUCGUGUCGUGAGAUGUUGGGUUAAGUCCCGCAACGAGCGCAACCCUUGUCAUUAAUUGCCAUCAUUUAGUUGGGCACUUUAAUGAGACUGCCGG